CGGACGGGUGAGUAACGCGUGGGUAACCUACCCUGUACAGGGGGAUAACAGUCAGAAAUGACUGCUAAUACCGCAUAAGACCACAGCACCGCAUGGUGCAGGGGUAAAAACUACCGGUGGUACAGGAUGGACCCGCGUCUGAUUAGCUGGUUGGUGAGGUAACGGCUCACCAAGGCGACGAUCAGUAGCCGGCUUGAGAGAGUGAACGGCCACAUUGGGACUGAGACACGGCCCAA
Molecule: ribosomal RNA, 236 nt
Filed under: uncultured bacterium
Lineage: Bacteria
Description: partial 16S ribosomal RNA
Rfam family: Bacterial small subunit ribosomal RNA
Source: RNAcentral